RNAcentral lists this long non-coding RNA (1109 nucleotides) under Coturnix japonica (Japanese quail). RNAcentral's name for it is "lncRNA (ENSCJPG00005002900.1)". Lineage: Eukaryota; Metazoa; Chordata; Aves; Galliformes; Phasianidae. The record is from RNAcentral.
GGGGGUGGGGUUCUGAGUACCCCAAUAAUGGGAUGGGGGGUGAUCAGGGGUCCCUGGAACCCCAUAAAUGGGAUGGGGGGGUUCCCAAUACCCCAUAAAUUGAAUGGGGUGGGGUCUGAGUACCCCAUAAAUGGGAUGGGGGGGUAUUGGGGAACCCCAGCACCCCAAUAAUGGGAUGGGGGGGGAUUGGGGGUCCCCAAUACCCCAAUAAUGGGAUGGGGGGAAUUGAGGGGUCCUCAGCCCCCCAUAAAUGCGAUGGGGGGGGUCUGAGUACCCCAAUAAUGGGAUGGGGGGGAUUGGGGGUCCCUGACACCCCAAUAAUGGGAUGGAAGGGCCUCAGUACCCCAAUAAUGGGAUGGGGGGGUCCCCAAUACCCCAUAUAUGGGAUGGGGGGGGAUUGGGGGUCCCCAGUACCCCAGUAAUGGGAUGGGGGGGGGUCUAAGCACCCCAUAUUUGGGAUGGGGCUCCCACCCCCCUCUCCUCACCUUCCUCCUCCUCCUUCUUCCUCCUCCUCCUCCUCCACCCCGCUGUCGUCGCUGGUUGCUUUGCCUCCUUCCUCUUCCUCUUCCUCUUCUUCCUCCUCCUCUUCUUCCUCCUCCUCUUCCUCUUCCUCUUCCUCUUCUUCCUCCUCCUCUUCCUCGCCCCCCCCAGCGCUGCCCCCCAUACCCACACACCCCCAUUCACAUCCCCAUUCUGGAUACAGGGACCCCCACACAGUGACUCCCCCCCCUCCUCUUCCUCCCCCAUUUCCUUCUUCCUCUUCCUCCCUCUCCCCUUUUUCCUGUUUCUCCCUCCCUCUUCCCCUCUUCCUCCUCCCCAUCCCCCUUCCUCUUCCUCUUCCCCCCCUUCCUCUUCCUCUUCCUCUUCCCUCCCCCCUCAUCUUCCUCCCCCCCCACUCACCUCUCUUCCUCUUCCUCUUCCUCUUCGUCUUCCUUUUCCUCUUCCUCCUUAUUUCCUGCUCCCUCCGCUUUGCUCCCUGCAGCACAAGGGCAGGAGCUGACACUCAACACACACACACACGCGUGACACGCGGGGCACACACACAUGACAGGUCACACGUGUCACACUCAGGGACACACACACAUGGGACACACAGGGAACACGCGUGA